GAAAAACCAUCAGCGGCAACAAAUGGAGUGCACUCUCACGAUCGUGUCAGCUGCCCCCCGCUCACGGCCGCAGAGGCCGGCAUAAUAACAGCAGCAGCAGCACCUGCAGGGUCUUUUUUCCAUGAACUCCUGAACACAAACACCUGGGGGAUACGAUCAUACGGUCACGUGAUCAUUCUCUACUCGAUGCUAUGACGAGGAUUAUCUGACACAGCCUGGAUCUGGAGCGUACAACAACAAUAGCAACCUGCCUCUCCGUCGAAUCAAACCCACAAUGCACCUGCUGUAAGUCAGACCUCAGCACAUUCACUCAGACGAGCCUGGAGGAAGGCAACAUGUUGUUCCUGUAGGAGUGGCCUGCUGGAGAAGGAGUGAAAUGCAUUGAAUAAAAGGUU
Molecule: long non-coding RNA, 395 nt
Organism: Acanthopagrus latus (yellowfin seabream)
Lineage: Eukaryota; Metazoa; Chordata; Actinopteri; Spariformes; Sparidae
Exons: 3
Source: RefSeq, a predicted model, not a curated record